This 448-nucleotide ribosomal RNA is filed under the name uncultured bacterium. RNAcentral describes it as "bacterial SSU rRNA". It matches the Rfam family "Bacterial small subunit ribosomal RNA", at positions 28 to 456 of the family's 1533-position model. The record is from RNAcentral.
GAUGAACGCUGGCGGCGUGCUUAACACAUGCAAGUCGAACGAAACACCUUAUUUGAUUUUCUUCGGAACUGAAGAUUUGGUGAUUGAGUGGCGGACGGGUGAGUAACGCGUGGGUAACCUACCCUGUACAGGGGGAUAACAGUCAGAAAUGACUGCUAAUACCGCAUAAGACCACAGCACCGCAUGGUGCAGGGGUAAAAACUCUGGUGGUACAGGAUGGACCCGCGUCUGAUUAGCUGGUUGGUGAGGUAACGGCUCACCAAGGCGACGAUCAGUAGCCGGCUUGAGAGAGUGAACGGCCACAUUGGGACUGAGACACGGCCCAAACUCCUACGGGAGGCAGCAGUGGGGAAUAUUGCACAAUGGGGGAAACCCUGAUGCAGCGACGCCGCGUGAGUGAAGAAGUAUCUCGGUAUGUAAAGCUCUAUCAGCAGGGAAGAAAAUGACG